UAGGGUAUUCUCAUACCAAGAAAGGGUACAAAUGUUAUGAUAACAUUAGCCAGAAACUUUAUGUCAGCAGGGAUGUUAGGUCGAAACCACUCCUUAUUUCACUGAUCCUA
RNAcentral lists this small RNA (110 nucleotides) under Salix viminalis (osier). Lineage: Eukaryota; Viridiplantae; Streptophyta; Magnoliopsida; Malpighiales; Salicaceae. The record is from RNAcentral.